GACGAACGCUGGCGGCGUGCUUAACACAUGCAAGUCGAACGGAAAGGCCCUGCUUUUGUGGGGUGCUCGAGUGGCGAACGGGUGAGUAACACGUGAGUAACCUGCCCUUGACUUUGGGAUAACUUCAGGAAACUGGGGCUAAUACCGGAUAGGAGCUCCUGCUGCAUGGUGGGGGUUGGAAAGUUUCGGCGGCUGGGGAUGGACUCGCGGCUUAUCAGCUUGUUGGUGGGGUAGUGGCUUACCAAGGCUUUGACGGGUAGCCGGCCUGAGAGGGUGACCGGCAACAUUGGGACUGAGAUACGGCCCAGACUCCUAAGGGAGGCAGCAGUGGGGAAUAUUGCACAAUGGGCGGAAGCCUGAUGCAGCAACGCCGCGUGCGGGAUGACGGCCUUCGGGUUGUAAACCGCUUUCGCCUGUGACGAAGCGUGAGUGACGGUAAUGGGUAAAGAAGCACCGGCUAACUACGUG
Molecule: ribosomal RNA, 468 nt
Filed under: uncultured bacterium
Lineage: Bacteria
Description: partial 16S ribosomal RNA
Rfam family: Bacterial small subunit ribosomal RNA
Source: RNAcentral